Oncorhynchus tshawytscha (Chinook salmon) is the source of this 367-nucleotide long non-coding RNA. Lineage: Eukaryota; Metazoa; Chordata; Actinopteri; Salmoniformes; Salmonidae. The record is from Ensembl.
AGAGGCAGUAGGGAUGACCAGGGAUGUUCUCUGUUUAGUGAGUCCUCCAGAUCAGAGGCAGUAGGGAUGACCAGGGAUGUUCUCUGUUUAGUGAGUCCUCCAGAUCAGAGGCAGUAGGGAUGACCAGGGAUGUUCUCUGUUUAGUGAGUCCUCCAGAUCAGAGGCAGUAGGGAUGACCAGGGAUGUUCUCUGUUUAGUGAGUCUUCCAGAUCAGAGUCAGUAGGGAUGACCAGGGAUGUUCUCUGUUUAGUGAGUCCUCCAGAUCAGAGGCAGUAGGGAUGACCAGGGAUGUUCUCUGUUUAGUGAGUCCUCCAGAUCAGAGGCAGUAGGGAUGACCAGGGAUGUUCUCUGUUUAGUGAGUCUUCCA